Molecule: ribosomal RNA, 253 nt
Filed under: uncultured bacterium
Lineage: Bacteria
Description: partial 16S ribosomal RNA
Rfam family: Bacterial small subunit ribosomal RNA
Source: RNAcentral
UACGUAGGGGGCUAGCGUUGUCCGGAAUCAUUGGGCGUAAAGAGCGUGUAGGCGGUCCGGUAAGUCCGCUGUGAAAGUCGGGGGCUCAACCCUCGAAUGCCGGUGGAUACUGUCGGGCUAGAGUGCGGAAGAGGCGAGUGGAAUUCCUGGUGUAGCGGUGAAAUGCGCAGAUAUCAGGAAGAACACCUAUGGCGAAGGCAGCUCUCUGGGACGGUACUGACGCUGAGACGCGAAAGCGUGGGGAGCGAACAGG